RNAcentral lists this ribosomal RNA (463 nucleotides) under Microcharidius sp. 43 aff. peregrinus CA-2017. RNAcentral's name for it is "partial large subunit ribosomal RNA". The stretch from base 225 to 383 matches the Rfam family "Bacterial large subunit ribosomal RNA", at positions 2473 to 2632 of the family's 2925-position model. Lineage: Eukaryota; Metazoa; Arthropoda; Insecta; Coleoptera; Carabidae. The record is from RNAcentral.
AUUUAAUUUUUAAGUUAAAAAGCUUAAAUUUUUAUAAAAGACGAGAAGACCCUAUAGAUCUUUAUAGAUUUAUUUUUAUAAUUAUUUUAGAUUUAUUAAUUUUAUAUAAUAUAAAUUUAUUUUAUUGGGGUAAUAUAAAGAUUUAUAUAAUUCUUUUUUUUAAUUGUAUUAAUUUAUAUAUUAUUGAUCCGUUAUUAAUGAUUAAAAGAUUAAGUUACCUUAGGGAUAACAGCGUAAUUUUUUUAGAGAGUUCAUAUUGAUAAAAAAGUUUGCGACCUCGAUGUUGGAUUAAAGAUUAAUUUAGGUGCAAAAGUUUAAAUUUUUGGUCUGUUCGACCAUUAAAUCUUUACAUGAUCUGAGUUCAGACCGGUGUAAGCCAGGUCGGUUUCUAUCUUUAUAUAAUUAAAAUAUUUUAGUACGAAAGGACCAAAUAUUAAUUAAAAUAAUUAUUUAUUUGAAUAUU